GACGAACGCUGGCGGCGUGCUUAACACAUGCAAGUCGAACGGAAAGGCCCUGCUUUUGUGGGGUUCUCGAGUGGCGAACGGGUGAGUAACACGUGAGUAACCUGCCCUUGACUUUGUGAUAACUUCAGGAAACUGGGGCUCAUACCCGAUAUAAUCUCCUGCUGCAUGGUGGGGGUUGGAAAGUUUCGGCGGUUGGGGAUGGACUCGCGGCUUAUCAGCUUGUUGGUGGGGUAGUGGCUUACCAAGGCUUUGACGGGUAGCCGGCCUGAGAGGGUGACCGGCGACAUUGGGACUGAGAGACGGCCCAGAAGCCUACGGGAGGCAGUAGUGGGGAAUAUUGCACAAUGGGCGGAAGCCUGAUGCAGCAACGCCGCGUGCGGGAUGACGGCCUUCGGGUUGUAAACCGAUUUCGCCUGUGACGAAGCGUGAGUGACGGUAAUGGGUAAAGAAGCACCGGCUAACUACGUG
Molecule: ribosomal RNA, 468 nt
Filed under: uncultured bacterium
Lineage: Bacteria
Description: partial 16S ribosomal RNA
Rfam family: Bacterial small subunit ribosomal RNA
Source: RNAcentral